ACACCUUUGGGCUUUAUUUUUUCUGUCUUUUUCCAACAAUUAUUUAUUAGAUUUUCUACUCUGUAUCUUAUCUAUUUAUAUAAAAUAGAGUUUCUUCCCUCCUGGACGUUGACACGUCAUCAAUUCGUGUGUUCUGGUGGCGACACCUGUCCCUUUAACCAAUACUCUGCGUUUCAUUUAUUUCAUUUGACAUUUUGUUUGGGCUUUGAAUUACAUGGGUUUUUGAAUGGGUUAAGUCACUCGAAACGCGUCGUUUCUUUCUUCGAUGGUCGACUCAGUGUUUUUCUCCGCCGUCGCUAUCUGAUCUCCAAUACGAGGGUUUUGAUUCAUCUUCUUCCUCCGACUCUGAUUUUUACCAAACGGAAAAUUAUUAUCUUCUUAAAGUCCGCCUUGAUUCCAUCAUCUACGAUCUACAACUAUUAUCUGCUUCGCUAUUGGAAGGCGGUGGAAAUCUCAAACCUAUAGAAAGGGGUCUCCAGCGCCAUUAGUUUUCACAUUUUUUUUUUGAAUGAUGUUUUCACAUUUUCAUAUCGAUGUACCACUCAUAAUACACACAUAGAGCUAGGAGAACUGGCAACUUCCCAGAUAUUGCUUUCCAAUUUUAAGGCUGGACGUGGCAGCCGAACUGUUGUACCAUGCCUUAUGGGAGUCCACAUGCUGCUCUUAGAUGCUAAGUUUCAUUGCUUCUGCUCUGUGUUUGCCUAGCAGACUAGCACAUAACAACAACCGUGCAAUAGCAAGGAACACAUCUUUGAUUAUUAACAAAAGCGCAGAUACCAACAUUAGAAUGGGUAACUGAGAAAGAAGUUAAGCGACAAUAGGCAACAGCUUCUAGAAGCCUACACGCUCGAGUCUAUCAAUAGCAUACCAUUAUAUUUUACUUUAAUCUAAGGAAGUGGAAGAUGAUUCCUUACGCUGCUGGUGUCAUUAUCACUCUAGCUCUAACCCUUUUGGUCCGCAACGCUAAGAAAGACGAGAAACGAGGCGUGAUAGUCGAUGACGUCGGUGGAGAGCCAGGUCAUACCGUUAGGAACCACCGGUUCAAAUAUCCCGUCAGCUCUCACUGGGAAGACAUCUCCACACUCCCAGAGAUCUUCGAGAUCUCGUGCAAGAACCACAGCGACAUGUUUUCCCCGGGACCAGGAAGCUGAUCGCUAGAGAGGUUGAGGUGAGAAACUUCAUUUGGGUGAUUAUGAGUGGAAGACGUUCUGGCAGACGCUUGAAGCUGUGUGUUGUUUUGCUUCUGAGUUGGUUCAGAUGGGACACAAGUAUGAGGAACAUGUCGUCAUUUUUGCGGAUAUGAGAGAAGAGUGGUUCAUUGCGUUACAGGGUUGCUUCAGGCGUAAUGUCACUGUGGUUACUAUCUAUUCAUCUUUGGGAGAGGAAGCUCUUUGUCACUCGCUCAGUGAGGUCAAGCCCAAAGUUGAAGCUGAAUCAUCGGUUAAAAAAAUGUUGUAAUAGUAGAGUGGUCGAAUUGUAGUCCUACACACAAUUAUUGAUCGGAAACAGAACUAGAUGGAGAUAUAUCUUUGAAGAAGACAUUAAGCUUAAUGCUUAGCUCCAAACCAGCAUUCAAGAGA
Raphanus sativus (radish) is the source of this 1580-nucleotide long non-coding RNA. RefSeq lists it as uncharacterized. Lineage: Eukaryota; Viridiplantae; Streptophyta; Magnoliopsida; Brassicales; Brassicaceae. The transcript has 4 exons. The record is from RefSeq and is a predicted model, not a curated record.